Non-coding RNA from Sus scrofa (pig), 9125 nucleotides. NCBI's taxonomy places the organism in Eukaryota, Metazoa, Chordata, Mammalia, Artiodactyla, Suidae. The record is from RefSeq and is a predicted model, not a curated record.
CGGAGAGCGGCCGGCGCCCGGUAGUGACGUCACGCCUCGUAAGCCCCGCCCCCGGAGGCGCCGGGAAAUUGGUGGAAAACACCUUCGGCUUCCCAGUGUGGAUCAAGCGUGAGGAGUGAGAGAAACUAGGAACUUCUCUGAAUACCUAAUGAUCCUGCAUGAAUUUAAUCAUCUCCAGGACUUUAGAGCACAUCCUUAAACUUGACCUGCUGAAAGCACACCAGUGUUCCAGCAAGAACAAAGGAGAAAGCGGAAGUGAAGCAAGUGAAGCACACACCUUUCUUUAAGAACCAUGAAAACAUCCCUGGGCUAGCUUGCUAGGGAAAUGUAAGGAACACCUGGAGGAGAGCUGUGUUAUUCCUAUGCUGACCAUCCUAUACCAACCAGGCCCCUGAGGGCCUCCAGCUGACCAGAGAUAGAUCCCACUGAGAUCAGGUCUUUUGGGAGGACUAAAACUCAAUGUAUCAAGGUUUUGCUUCCUCAUAGCUUGAGUUCUCCCAUCUAUCUGAUCCUACAGUGAAAUGGCAAUUUUGUGACAUCAGAAUCUGGUCCGGGGCAAAUAUUUGUUAUUAUGGUCAACUAUGACUUUAUGAUCUCAUUGUAAUAAAUGAGGAAAAAUUGCAGAAAAGAAUAUUUGUAUAAAUUGUACUAAGUAAAUGUUAUUCUUGUAACAAUAGAAAAUAAUAGCUAACAUAUCUCCUUCUUUAUUAUAGUUCUCAGUUUCUACAUUCAUAUAAGUAUAAAGCAUCCUCUUUUUGAAAGUUAGCACCAUCACUUUUUUUGAAGACUAUUCUCAAAUACCUGCAAAUAUAUGCAACUUAUAUGAAAAUCACCACAUAAUGUUCCCAUUUGAUCAGAUUAAAUAUUAAAGUUCUGGGGGGGACAGAGGGAGGCCAGAAAGGAGGUGAGUUGGUCACAUCUCCCAGAACUUUGAACCACAUUUUUGGCAUCUAAAACAAAGGCAAAUAUAUUGUUCAUAGCUGCAGGACUUUGGUAUGAAUGUGUUUUAUGCACAAGGGUCAUAUAUUUGUAUUUUUCUCUAUUGUAAUUGAUUAAGUUUGAAUCCCAUAGAAGUAUAAUAUUUGUAUUUACAAAUAGAAACCAUAUUUAUUCUGAAUGCAUUUUUAACUAAGUAUACAAUUCACAACUUUAUCACUUGUUUUAUGAGUCCAUUUGGCUUGGCUCAGAAAAAAAAUAAUUAAUCAAGCCUGUAGUUUGCAGGGCCUGGUCUUUAUUUAUGCAGAAACUGCUUAUUUAUUAACAUUAAGCAUCUCCCAUUUGGUCUCAAAGAGAUGUAUAGUUACAUGGAAACAGAACAGCUUUCAGUAGAUGAUUGCACAACUACAGAUGCUUUUUUCCAACACCAUCACAGCUGAGGAGGUCCAACCAAAUGAAAAACAGUUCUGAUGAAGUGAGAAACAGAAAAGCGGUACCAUGCAAACGUUAUUACAUAAUAAAAUGCACGCCAGUACACAUUUUUUUUAAACUCUUUUUAUUAAAUUUAUGUGAAUCAAGAGGAAAGGGCGAAAAGUAUAUUUACUGAUGAUAAAAAAUAUACUCUGGAUAAUUUAAGUCAUCUCAUUUAAAACUUAUUCUUUAUAAGUUUCUAGUUCUUCCCCACUUCCUUUUAGCUCUCUGUCAUCUACUCCAAAGUAAAACUUUUUGGAUUUAAUAAAGACAUCGAAUUUGCAGGUGGUUUGUUCCUGAACAUACAGUCUAAUAUCAAGCGAUGUUACAAAAUACUUAAAUGAAAAUUAGUGGGCUGUCCUCACUAAUCCUGGCCUUUAAAUAUUUUCAGAUGAUUCAUUUUAACCUGUUUCAAUAGCCAUGUUAGUGUGUGUGUCUAUCCUGCCCCACUGGGAACCAUGCCAGCCAGAAAAUGCAUGAAAUCAUGGGAUGUCUUAUGAUGCUAUCCCUGAAAGAUUUCCAGCCUAAGUUAUACUCACAGCAUUAUACUACAGGGAGCCCAGCACCCUGAUGAAUUCUUAAAGUACAUGCAGAUGUGUUUUUCUGAAUAUGCAGUGCUAUAAAUAUUGCUUAUCCUUCUGGAAUGUGCUAAUAUAAAGACAGAUACAAAUAUUAGAAUGGGUAAUUGUAAAAUAUACAUAAAUGAAUGAAGCAUAUUCAUUUCUUGCUACCAGAAGCUUUUUUCUCCAUUACUUUGUACAUAUGCAUAAUUGUAUAAGUGUUUGUAUGUGUGUAUAUAUAUAUAUAUGUAAAGUUUUGCAAUAUAUUUAAUUGUUUUAGUUCAAGUGGUUAUUUCUAAGCAUAUUUCCUCAUAUUUAAUUAGUGUGUCUAUACUGGAAUGGAAAAUAAUUUUUAUUCUUUUCAUUUUUAUUAACAUUCAUUAAGCAUUUAUCAUUCUCCAGGAAACUGUGUUGAAUGUUUAACAUAUCUCACUUAAUCAUUAUAACAAGAUAUGAAAUAUGUGUUUUUAUGUCUCAUUUACCAUGAGGAAAUUGUGCAUCUCAGAAAUUGGAGCUUAUGUGAGACAACCAAUUAGUUACUAAGUGGGGAAGCCAAAAUUCAAAUUCAGGCUCUAUUUCAAAGCCACUGCUCUUAACCAGUAUUUCUUUCAAGUCAGCCAACCAAUAAACUAACUCAAUAUAUUAGUACAAAAGGGAUAUAAAAAGGAUUCCAAUUAAGUAUGUUUCAUUAAAGAGAUCAUAAUAAAUGAAUAAAACAUAUUCAUCUUAACUAAAAGCAGUAAGAGGAAAUUUAUUACUCUGUUUCUCCAGUUCUAAAUGUCUUCCUGCUCCCUCACACCAACAUCCAAAAGUAUUUGAUAGAAAAAUAAAUCUAUCAGAUGGUCUGAGCUACUUUGAUGAAAUAUUUACAUUUCUAUAGCAUUUCCUUAAAUAUUAUUGAUUAUUUACAUUUCUAUGACAUUAUCUGCUCAAGUUGAAAUCACCCAAGAAUGCUUUGCAUACUGUUCCUUCAAGAGAUGGCAUCACAGAUUUAAUUUUUGUACAGUGAGUUCUAUUCUUCUGGCUUACAUUUCCCUUUCUUCCUUUUGUACUCUCUUCAGAGGUACAUCCAAAGAUAGAAAAGAUAGGAUUAGAAUGAAAAGGGCCUAUUACCAUAAACUUCAGAGAAAGUGGGAUUAUCAAAGUUUGUUAUUUGUUUGGAUUUACUGGUCAUCUGUAAUGUUGUUUCCAGCAUUACCAUUUCUAGUUCUUUUCCAAAGGGAGUACAAAGAAGAUGAAGCUGGCACUUAUUUUAAUAUAAGUAAAUCCAGAGUAAGCCCUUCACAUAGGCAAGUGAUAUUUUAAGCUUCAAUCUACUGGACUUGUCAAAGAUCACAUCACUCCUUUUUAUUAGAGAACAAAAGUAGGUAUAUAGCCUCCACCCAUGGUACAUAAAUAGUUCAAUUAAACAUGCUUUGAUGCUACAGCCAAUGAGAUUGUUUUUGACAAAGUAAGAUAGAAUCAAUUCCUUUACAAACUGUGGGAAAUUAACUAAAUUGUACUAAACUUGUAAGUCCUUUUCUUCCUUCCUCUACUCCAAGUGAAUCUAUAUAAACUUUUCUCAAUGACAGAAAUAUUGCAGAGAGAGUUCAAUAUAAAAGACAAAGGUUGAAUUUUAUAGCAGAUAUUUUCCAGCCUAAGUGUUAGAGAAGAAUAAAAAUCUUCUUAUAAUGUAAUUUUGCACAUACAUUUUCUGUGUAAUCUAGGAAUAAUAGUAGCUUUAGUCACAAAAAUUCAAUUGAAUGUGACUGAUGUUGAACUCCAAGCAACAGCAGAUCAAAGGAUUAUGAAUUCUUCACAGUCAGUAUAAAAUCAUGAGAAAAUAAUGUAAUCAUUCUGACAUUGUUGAAAAUAAGAGAUAAAGGGCACAUGACUUACAACCAGGAUGAUAAAUGGAGGGCUGAAUCUAGACAAGAAUAAGACAGAGCUUUCCCAUAAUACAUCUGAACAAGAGUCUCAUCAUUUCGUGGUAAUGAAAAAUUAAAAGUUAAUACAAGUUUGUAUCAUCAAAAUUACAAAUGCAUAAUCACUUUGAACUGGGCUAUGAAUUACAGGAAUUGACAUAUAUGCAUCAUCAUCCACUGCAGCAUUCCUGAAACAACAAAGAUUGGAAACAAACCAGACUUCCAUCAAAGGGUUUCUAUAUCCAUACAACAGAAUACUAGUACCUAUAAGAAAGAGUAAGGAGUCUCUGGAUGUACAUCUUAGCCAGCUUGGGCUACUAUAACAGAAUGCCACAGACUGGCUUAAACAGUGGAAAUUUAUUUCUCACAGUUUUGGAAGCUGGGAAGUCCAAGAUCAAGGUACCAGUAGAUUUGAGUUUUGGUGAGGGCCCUUUUCCUGGCUUAUGGUCAGCCAUCUUUUCACUGUAUCCUCACAUGGUGGGGAGAGCGUGACCUCUGGUCUCUUUCUCUUCUUACAAGGACACUUAUAAGGCACCAUUCUCAUAAUCUCAUCCAAAUCUAAUUAACCCCCAAAGGCUCCACCGCCAAAUAGCAUCACAUUGGGAGUUAGAGCUUCAGCAUAUGAAUCAGGGCACAGCAUUAAGUCCCUAGCAGAAGUAGAUAAGGAAAACUUUCCAAGAUUUAUUAAAUGAAAAGAAAAAGCAAUGUGCAAAACCAUUUUAUAGACUGCAAUGUGUUUAAAAGUUCGAGCAAAAUUAGAAUAUGCAUUGAUUUUUUCGUUGUUACAAAUUUGUGACAAAAUUCUGCACCCAUUAAUGAUACAAUUUUCAAUAAACUAGAACUAAAAGGAAAAUUAUUUCACUAGGUAAAAAUACUCUAAAAAAGACUUUAUAGUUAAUAUAAACUUAAUGGUGAAAAACUAAAUUCUCUCCCCACCCCCCUGUUAAGAUCAGGAACAAACCAAAGAUGCCUAAUCUCACCCCUAAUAAUAAAUAUUAUACUAAAAGUAAUAAGGCAAAAAAAUAAAAGUAUAAACAUAUAAAGGGAAGAGACAAAACUUUUCAUUCACAAAUGAAAUGCCUGAGUAAUGAAAUAGAGAAAUCAAUAAAGAAAACUAUGAGAACUCAUAAGUGAAUUUAGCAGGCUAUAACCUAUGAAAAAAGAUAAGAAUAUGUAAAAUCAAUUGUAUGAGUACAUGCUCUCAAAAACAACUGGAAAUUCAAAAUAUAAAAUUACAGUGGUAGCAUAGCCAUAAAGUACUAGGAUAAGCUUAGCAAAAUAUAUAAAAGACCUGUACCUGAAAAUUAGAAAACAUUAAAAGCAAUUAAAGAAGUGUGAAAUAAAUGGAUUGGCAUACCGUAUUUAUUGACAGGAAGAUUCACUAUUGUUAAGCUGUCAAAUUUGCCUAAAUUUUUCUAUAGAUUCAAUGUAAUCUCAACCAAAAUACAAGCAAGGCUUUUGAAAAAAUGAACAAACUAAUUCUAAAAUUCUUAUGACAAUAUAAAGGAACUAAACUAGUAGAACCAGAACAAUUUUUUAAAGAAUGAACAAAGUUAAAAAGUUUAUUCUGCCUGAUUUCUAUCCAUACUAUCAAAGUUCAAUGAUACAGACAGUGUGCUGUUGAUGUAAGGUUAGACAUAUAGAUUAAUUAAACAGCAUAAAGAAUCUAGAAAUAAACUCACAUAUAUAUGGUCAAUUGAGUUUUUUACAAAGAUUCCAAGGCAAUCCAAUGCAGAAAGGGCAAUCUUUUCAACAGAUGUUACUGGAACAAUGGAAUAGCCAUAUUUAAAAAAUAAUAAUAAAUAAAGGAGUCUUGACUCUUACCUCAUGCCAUAUACAAAAUUAACUUGGAAUCUGUCAUAGGCCUAUUAUAAGAGCUGAAACUAUAUAACUUUUAGUAGAAAACAGGAGAAAUAUCUGCUCUAUUGGACGAGGCAAAGACUUUUUAGUUUUCAUACAAAAAGGAAAACAUUUUUUCUAAGAUAAAAAAUUGACAAGUUAGACUUCACUGAAAUUUUAAACUUCUGCUCUUUGAAAGACAUUGCUAAAAAUAAACUAAAAAGCAAUCCACAAUAGGGAAAAUUCACAAUACAUAUAUCUGACAAAACACUUAUAUUCACAAUAUGUAAAUACCUUUUACAACUCAGUAAGAAAACAACUAAAGUAAAAAUGGACAAAAUAUUUGAACAAAUAUUUCACAAAAGAAAAAUAGUCAAUAUGCACUUAAAACAAUGCUCAACAUCUUUAUUCAUCAGUGAUUGACUGGAGGUAGGCCUGGGUGUAUUGAUUACAAGGGGCAAGAGAGAAUUUGGGGGAGAAUUGAUGUGUUUUAUGACUUCAGUUAGAGUGGUUGUUACAUAGAUGUGUAAGCAUAUUUCAAAACCAACCAAUUGUACAUUUCAGAUGAGUAUAUUUCACUUUAUGUGAAUCAUAUUGCAAAAUAAGAUUUUUUAAAAAAAAUACAAAAUGAGGAAGCAAAGCAUGAAGAUGGGAAGAAACAGUAACCAAGGAUAAGAGAAAGCCCAGAGGAAUGUGUUUAUUUGGACACUCUUGAACAUUACCUAAAUACUCGUGGCCACACCUCUUACUACAGCUGCUGCAGCAGGGACCAGCAGUGUGCAUUCUUUGACCAGCUUUGCAAGUCUCACCUCAGCCUGUGCUCUGGUCCCAUAACUUCUUUUUUUUCUCUGACACACUGAACCAGCUUGAAAGUAGAGGGAAAUUAAUGUUCAUAGAGCUAUUCUUACCAUUAAAAUUAGGGUAUGACAGACAAUAAAUAAAUGUAGUCAAUUUCAAAAUGCAUUAUCUAAGCUCCCAUAGAGACGGCCAACCUAAUAAUAUACUUUGUGUUGGCUUUUUCUCAUUUCUUGUUUUAUUCUUCUGGUUCCUUUCUCCUUCCCUGGGAUCAUUUCACAAUAAACUACCUUCAUGCCAGCUCCACUUUCAUGCUCUGCUUCCAGGGGAACACAAGCUAGGGCACAGUAGGAAGUUAGGUUAUAGUUAAAAAAUGAUAAUAGAUAAAAAGUAUUAUGUACUCACUAUGUGCUAAACACUAAGAUUUCUACAUACAUUAACAUAUUUAAAUCUAACAACAAUCCCAUUUUCUAUAUGAGAAAACUGAAGCAGGAAAAGAUAGUAAGUGGGUAGGAAAGUGGUCAACACUGACAAAUGCUACUAAAAAUUAUGAAAUUCAGAGGAAUUUACACAUAGGCUAUUAUUGAUGAAAUUCAUGAAAGACUUCAGUGGAGUAAUGGGAAUAGAAUCCAGAUUUGAGGAAAUUUUUUAACCUUAACUGAAGAUCAGUCCUCAAUUGUGCAGAAAUAUGAACAUCAUAACCCUUGGAAAAAUAGCAAGAAAUACUGUGGUGGAUAAGCUUGGAUACACUGAACAAAGCCUUCAUAUCCACUCAGAUUCUAAACUUCUCUAAAUCUCUUCCACACAGUGAAUUUAAUAUCAAGAAUUUGAGUUCUCAAUAUCAAAUUUUAGUAAAGGAAUUUUUUUCUGGGACUUCCAAAUAUAUGGGUACUGUAGUUGAGUAAAAUGAAACAAUAAUAAAAUGUGUUAUUGAUGUAGGAGAAGUAGGAUUCAAUACAGUAGUGGUUAGAAGAAAUCCAAAUAUAUUCUAGCCAACUUUGACGAACUUACCCCCAUUUAUCAUGAUUGAACAUUUGUAUCCAGAGUGAAUUCACCAAAUAUUUCGUAUUUUGGUUUUGUUUGCAGUAAUGCUGGAUUGUAUACUAUUGUUUCUCCACAAAUGCUUAAGAAAAAAUAAUAAAAGAACAUGGAGUCCAAAAAAGGACUAUUGAUUUGAAAAAAAUUUAAAAAUCUAUUUAUCAUUUGUCAUUCUUUUGCUAUUCACAGGCCCCAUUUUUGGUCAUUGGUAAACUUCAAGACUUCAGAUUUCUGGCAAAUGAACAUGUAUCAUGUUCCUAAUGAAUUUUCAAGGUCAUGUUUAUUAAUGAUCUUUUCCUGCUGUUUAAUUCAAUAUGGUAGUGAUAAGCUACAUAGUUCAAAAUGCAACAAGUUCUAAACACUCAGUCUCAAAAUCUUGGCCCCUUGUUUUGGCUCUAACAAUGCAAAGUUCAGAUGUGAAAGUCGGCCAGCAUGUUCAAAUAAAAAUCUCAAUAAAUUAGACAGCAGUUGAUGUUCUUAGUAGACUCAUUGCAGUUAGCAUCUACCCACCAUCUCUGUUGGGAUGGCGCUCCAGCUAAUAUUCUCAUCUUAACAAGUGCUGUCAUUUAUCAGGUGUUCACUACAUUAAAAUUAAACUAAGCUCGAAAAAAUGAAAGCAAAAUUUCAUAGGAUGUCUGUAUACUCUAGAAAUAAGAAGAUGCUUUGCAGGAAUAAAUAUGUGCUGGCAACACAUCUCUUCUAUUUCAAGGACAAAAUUGAAACCAUAUUUCCACAGGGUGCAAACAUUGAUUGCUAUAUGUUCUUAUAAACAUAGAACUAAAAACAGUACUGCACCAUCCUCUUGAUUCCCUCUUUACUUUUAUGUGAAGUCCAAAAAUGUAUCAGUUAAAGGAGGCUUCUGAAUUCAAUUCAGAACACAGACAAGGAUUCAUAUGUCAAGAGUAGAAGCAGAGCAUACUUUAGGUAAGAGUAAAAACAAACAAAACACAGUUGUGUUUAAUUUGAAAGGUUCAAAACUAUUAUUCACUAAUAGGUAUAAAAAGAAUAAGCACAAAUUAUAGAUUAUCUCAAAGUUUCAUUUAAAGUGUGAGUUUUGUCCUUUCAUUUUUCUUCCUCCCUCCACAAAUGGUCAGGCCUGGUCAUUCAGUCCCAUGCAGCCAAAUUACUUCAUAAUCCCUCUCUACUUAAUUCCCUUCAGAAGCCUUAUCAUCACCUGCAAGGCACUGUAUUGUUUAACUCCUACCAUCCUUUGAAGCCUCAUCUUUUGCUACCCCUUCUUUCUCUAAUAAGCCCCAGCCACACUGAAUUUCUUUCAGUUCCAAAUGCUUGGGGGUGUUUCCUUUUAGGACAUGAGCAUGUUACUCCCUCUGUCUGAAAGACUAUUUCCAUUAGAGUUCACCUGGCUAAUUUGCAUGCAUUGGUCAGAUUUCAGUUUUUAUGUCACUUGAUCUACAGAGAUGACCCUCCCCCAUUAUGUCUGUCUCAAGAAUCUGUUACCAAAGUUCCUGUGCCCAACACACAGCGAGCCCAAAUAUCAAAACAUCGGAGUUUGGAACAGAGAACGGUUUAUUAGAGGGCCAAGCAAGAAGAAUGGGUGGCUCAUGCCAAAAAAAAACAAAAA